GACGUUACCUACAGAAGAAGCACCGGCUAACUCCGUGCCAGCAGCCGCGGUAAUACGGAGGGUGCGAGCGUUAAUCGGAAUUACUGGGCGUAAAGCGCAUGCAGGCGGCCUGUUAAGUCAGAUGUGAAAGCCCGGGGCGUUAACCUCGGAAUUGCAUUUGUAAACUGGCAGGCUAGAGUCUUGUAGAGGGGGGUAGGAAUUUCUAGGUGUAGCGGUGAAAUAGCGUAGAGAUCUGAAGGAAUACCAGUGGCGAAGGCGGCCCCCUCGGACAAAGACUGACGCUCAGAUGCGAAAGCGUGGGGAGCAAACAGGAUUAGAUACCCUGGUAG
This 329-nucleotide ribosomal RNA is filed under the name uncultured bacterium. Its description in RNAcentral is "bacterial SSU rRNA". It matches the Rfam family "Bacterial small subunit ribosomal RNA", at positions 471 to 793 of the family's 1533-position model. The record is from RNAcentral.